UGCGCAGGUGGUCGGGUAAGUCUGAUGUGAAAUCCCGCAGCUUAACUGCGGAAUGGCAUUGGAUACUAUUCGGCUAGAGGGUUGGAGGGGGGACUGGAAUUCUCGGUGUAGCAGUGAAAUGCGUAGAUAUCGAGAGGAACACCAGUGGCGAAGGCGAGUCCCUGGACAACUCCUGACGUUGAGGCACGAAAGCUAGGGAGCAAACA
This 206-nucleotide ribosomal RNA is filed under the name uncultured bacterium. RNAcentral's name for it is "partial 16S ribosomal RNA". It matches the Rfam family "Bacterial small subunit ribosomal RNA", at positions 568 to 774 of the family's 1533-position model. The record is from RNAcentral.